Molecule: long non-coding RNA, 4433 nt
Filed under: Elaeis guineensis (African oil palm)
Lineage: Eukaryota; Viridiplantae; Streptophyta; Magnoliopsida; Arecales; Arecaceae
Description: long non-coding RNA (EGUI_LNC003670)
Source: RNAcentral
UCCUUUUCUGGUUCUUGGUGUCUCCAUUUCCCGCUCCUCUCCGACAUUUUUCCAUGCACGUUAUCAUCAUACGCUGCUGCAACCGUCCUUUUCUUGUGCUUCCAUCUUAUCUCCAUCGGAUUCCACCACUAUAGCGAGGAUAAGACUCGGGUCCCUUCCGUAAUCCUGCAUUAGCUCCAGCUAUGCGCCGCCUCAUGUGACCCUUUUCUUUCAUGGACCCCCACUCCUUCACCUAACCAUCCACGGUUCUUCGCAAUUCGGCUCCAAUGGUACGAUGUCCACGCUUCAAAUCUUCCAUCAUUAGUCAAAGAAAAGUAAUGCCCGGAAAAAAUCUGGAUCCAUCUUUGUAUCGACCGCUGUCGUGGAUCUCUCUCAGCCUCGACUGCCAUCUAUAUUUUUAAAUUAUCCAGACUUCAAAAUGGAUACGAUUCAAACUCCUUUCCUAUAAAUAAAGAAGUUCCGAAAUCUUCAAAAUAAACUCCCGACUUCUUAUUCUCUCUUCUUAUUAUUCUCUAUCUCUUAACUCGAACAUCGAAAAAUCUAUUCCAGAGAACAUCUUAAUGAAAAAUUUUUGCAGGUAUUCGGAUGAAACUCCAACAAUAAAUCUUACUUUGGCCAUCUUCACCUCGACAAUCGAUCUCAGAUAGGGAGAUCCAGAAGCAACAACCGCCAAUCAAGUUCGCGAUGAUUACUCAAAAUGUAAAAUGAUAUCUGCGUGAGAAACUGCGCAAAAAAUGGAUCAACGAAGGAGCAGAUGGUAAGUCUCCCAAUAACAUUUGAUUGCUAGAGGAGAAGCAUGACGAAUAGUCCAGACUGAACCAGAGAAAUGCUUAGUUUGAUGAUCUCCUGAUCUGAUGGCGUUAGGAGGCCAACAGACACUGCAAGUGCCCUAGGUAGAAUCUAAAUCGAGAUGUUUAUAAAUCAUGCUUCCAACUCCAUGCACAGACUGCAAAUGAUGCUGUUCACCAGUACGCUCACUAAUGUGAUCCAAUCAAAGGGGCAAGAAUCAGGAAUCUCGAUAUUUGGAUCAUGCUGGUUACCACAUUGCAGGGCUCUCAGCACUGGUGAGGUUAAGCGUGUUUUAAUCUAUGUUCAACGAAGACAUUCGUUUGAUCGGUGUUUAAUGUAUUGACAACUAUAUUAACUUUACUUAAAAUAAUUUCAAGUUUUGUUCAUUUAAAAAAUUGUACCCAGUGAUUAUUUAACUUUGUUUAUUUCUUAAAUUUCUUUACCCAGAUAUUUUCUACUCGGGAUAGUUCUUCAACCACAAAUCUGAAAUAGUUUCAGACUUUCUUACACAAGUAUCUGACCAUAUUAAUUUGAAAAUAUUCUACACAAUUAAAAUUAACUUGAAUUUGAUAUAAUGUUCUUUAUUCAAUUUUUCUAAUCGUUCACUAUAUUAAUUUUCUUUAUUUGGAAUUCUUUUCACAGUUUUUUAUUUAGAUGUUUUCUAUCCACCACAAUUAUCUGACUGUGGUGAAACCCUACAUAUAACCAAUUCAUAUAGUUUUAGCUAGCAUUACAUUAUUUUUACUUUUAUUUUUGUAUUUUAGGAUGUGGCAUGAUUUUUUUUUGUACUUUAGGAAGAGGGAGGGUAAAGUCGGGAUUGAAAAAUGACUGAUGAAAUCUUGGAGUACUAUUUGGACACUACCCCAGCAACAUCCUGAAAAUGGACUGGUUAGCUUAUUUGUAAAUCAUAGCUACGGUUGGACACAUCAGAGAGACAAAAGAAUAACAUAAUAUGGCUAACAAAGUGCAUGCUGCAAUGACGCCCCAUCCUGAUGAAUCCUUUCAUACCAAUAAAAUCAAGCUUCCAAGAAUUAUAGACAACAAAAGUAGAAGGAUGGUUAUACAUAAACAGCCAAUAUUGGUACAUCAUACAAACGAUCAGUAAAUUUUCAAACCUUAAAGUCUGUUUGACUAAGCUUCAAGCGACAUAACAUGCUUUCUGGCUUCUAGCACAGAAGGUUCACUAAAGGGAUAUUCUAAAUAACAAUCAAAACUUGUGUGUGUGGCUCGUGGCUGGUAAAUUCCUAACUCUUCUUGAUAAUGACAAUGGCAACAACUAGUUACAACAAAUGAACCAAAGCAUGAAAAAAAAAAAAAAAAUGUAGCACAUCCCAACAGGAGAACAUCUCAACACCUCUGCGCACAUCUGCACAUAACACCGCCUCAGAAAAGGGUAACCUGCAAACCUAGGUACGCAUUCAAAAGAAUGCUACUAAUCACACAUGGAACGAUCAUGCUGCUGAUUGUCUUGGUAUCUUUCCAUCUUCCUCUUGAUUUGUUUCCCCAGUUCCCUGCCAAUGUGCAAAAACAAAUGGCUCAUCAGCAUAAUGAGUUUCCAUAUGAUUCAUGAAACCUCAUUUAAAAGAAUAAUAAUUUUAUCUUUUACUGGAUGUAACAAACAUACCAACAUCUUAAAUUUGGAGGUCUGCCGUACCUACCCAUGGUGCCCCAUACCGAUUGUGCUGUGCUAUAUUGGUAAAGGUAGAAGUGAUAGGGUACCAAGGUUCGGUUUGGUACACAAGCCAAACCGGUCCAAACCGAGCCAAACUGCUUUGCACCGCCUGGUACAACUGUACUGCCCGGUUUUCGAGCGGUACAUGGCAGGGAGUGAGAAAAAAGUAUUGCAAGCCUGUUUCGAUAUUAGAUACAUACCAUACCAAAGUGGUAACAUACUGAUAUGGCGAUUUUGCGGACCUUCGAUUAAAAGACUUGUAUUAUUAUGGGCGCACAGCUACUCAACUUUAAAUUUAAUAAUUAGAUGGGUGAACUACCUGAAUAUGUUGCAAGAGUUCCUCAAGUUCAACAGUUAUCUCUGAAAAAGAGGGUCGUUUAGCCGGAGCCGCCUCCCAACAUCUUUUCAUCAACUCAACCAACUUAGAGUGUGUUUUUUCUGGAAUCUCGGGACGCAAGCCCUGGUAUUACACAGAAAUAUGAUAAUAUAUAAAUAUGGUUAAAAGCUAUAUGAAGAAAUAUUUUUAGCAUCUAGCCAACCCAUAAUGUUUCAAUGAUGUCAUUUCCUGAUUUUUUUGGGAUUGAAAUCAUGGCUGUAAUAAUGUCCACUAAUAACUAUUUUAAUGGGAAACAGAUAAAACAAGGAACCUAUUUGAUCAUGAUACUCUUCAAAUACUUUUCUUUCUUUAUUUUGAUGGAGAAUUAACUCUUAAUUUUUUUUUCAGAUUAGCAGUGAACAUGUCAAAUAACAGAUAUCAUUCUCCACCAUGCAAAAACUGUUUAUAUGUCCAAAUGACAGUUGGGCUUUUGAAACAUAUAUCACUACAAUUCUAAAUCGUGUCACUGCUAAUAGUAUUUAUUUCAUGCAGGGGCAUUUUUAGAAUGGACAUUGGCACCUUGUAAAUUGAACUAACACAAACAAUUGUGCAGGACACACAAAGCUAGUCAGUCGAUGUUUGAAAAGCACUCAAAACAGUAAUUUUACAAUCUUCCUGAAAACAAUACAUUGGACAAUAACACCAACAAAUGUUAAUAACUUGUCAUACAGUAAGCUUUUCUUUAACAUAUUUUUCAACCUGAAACAUUUUCAGAUGACAACAGGGAAUUUGGAAAUACAUGAACAUUGUCCUUGCAAUUCAGCCAAUGAACUUGACCUAAAGCACCAAAAGCUUGUCACAAGUAGGUUUGAAACAAUGAUACCAUAGAAUUUUAUAAACAAGAUGGUUAGAUCUUUAUGAUCAACACAGAAUAUUGUUCUAUGUGAUGAAAAACACAAACCUGUCUUACUCCUAACGCAGCUUGCAAGGGUGUCAAAGUUUCAUAUGGGACCUGCACAAUGACAUCAUAGGCUUGUUACUCCACUUACCAUAUGAUCACAUGUUCCAAACUUUGCUUGAUCAAUGACCAGAUUGUUGAAAAAGUGCAAUUUCAGCAUGUACCUUUGAUGUUACUAGCUCCCAGAGCACAAUGGCAAAACUGAAAACAUCUGCCUUAUGAUCAUAUGAUUGAUGAUUUAUAACCUGGAAAGAGCAAAGUUGGAAUAUAAAAAAUCAGAAGAUAUGUUUGUGAUUAUUUAGAAUACAAGUAUGAUAAUGGUACUCUACAUGGUGUAAGACUGAGGUAUGUAUAUAUUAUAAAAAUCAGUAAUUUUGAGCCAUUAACAAUUUAAAUUUUCAGGUCAACACAUGUUUUGGGCUUCAAUUUUCCUCUGAUAUGAGGCAUUACUCCACCCACAUAGACCUACAUCAUAAAAUGUAGUUAUUAUUAGUGAUACAGAUUAUAUAGAAAAUCCUGGAUGAUGAUUUUCUUCUUUAAAUAACUUCAUUGGGUAUCUUCUUCUUCCCACCAGGGCUCUGAAGUCUGCCGCGUGAACAAGAGGAAAGAAUUUUUCCACUCAGCAGGAAAGCCCAUUCUAUACUAUUCUUUUUUAUGGUUGUUUGCAUGAGAUUUCUAUUUCUAAUAAUGUCAAUGAC